GGAGCAGGUCUGAUUGCAAAACAACGUGAAAGGUUGCCUAGAAAUCUCAGAUAAUCCAUUCGAUGUUCAGAAAUGGGAUAGGGAAGCCAGCAAACUCUGGGUGAGUUUGUCUUGCUGGAGCUGAGGAUAUUCACAUUGAGACAAAGAAAGGAGUGUUCUUUGGAAGCCUCAUGAAUGUUCACUCAAAGGCACACUGCUGCGCAGCUAUUUUGUAAAUGCAGAUAAAUGGGCACCGAUUAUGUUCCAGGGUAACUGGAGGCUGCCUGGACUCCUGACCAGCCUGCUCCAACCUGGGGAGAGUGAUUAACCUGCCAUAUGCCACAGCCUGGAAAAAAAUGGCAGAGGAUUUGGCAGUGGACCAAGUCAUAAGAAGGUGUUUCGAUCUGGAGAACUACAUCAUGACUACAUUCUAGAAAGCUGCAAUACUCUACAGGAAGACAAUGGUUG
Molecule: non-coding RNA, 447 nt
Organism: Odocoileus virginianus texanus
Lineage: Eukaryota; Metazoa; Chordata; Mammalia; Artiodactyla; Cervidae
Source: RefSeq, a predicted model, not a curated record